Molecule: long non-coding RNA, 620 nt
Organism: Cimex lectularius (bed bug)
Lineage: Eukaryota; Metazoa; Arthropoda; Insecta; Hemiptera; Cimicidae
Exons: 3
Source: RefSeq, a predicted model, not a curated record
GUUUUAUUUUUUAGUGUUCAUCGUCAAAUUGUCGGUGAGGUUUAUUAAUAAGGAAACGUACUUAUUUUAGCUCGGUUCUUUUUUGCCUUUAUGCUUCAACGUCGUCCACGCAAUUUUUAACAUUCUCGUCUUGUAUGUUGAAUUAUGCUGUAAAUUAUGAUAAUUAUUGUGUUUGUGUUUAAAAUCCGCCGUUUCUGCAACUGCAGUUCUUGUACCAGCGUUUGUUCGUAUCCGCGUUGUUAUUUCAUAUUGGCUAGGGAAGUGUAUGUCGUUUUUACCAACGCUUCGUCGUCCAAUUAUAGACGACUGUGUUGAAAAGACGAUUUUCAGCUUAGACGCGCAGAAAUAAAACCAUUUAGUCGUAUACAUUUCGGGGCUUAAUUUGUGUAGGAGUUGGACAGUCCUACAUUUCACCACACGUGACAAUCUUUUGUCAAAAACCCGCAUAUGAUUUUAUCAAGAUUGUCGCAUUCAAGACAAAGUAGAAUUCUGCUGGAGUUGCGAUUAUUCGCGAGACAUCCCAAUGGCGCUGGAAUCGAGCAAUCCUGGAAGAUGGCUAAUGAGUGGACCAUAAUGAGCCAUAUUUUAAAUAUUUAAAUAAAUCAAGCUUACUACUUUUC